RNAcentral lists this ribosomal RNA (465 nucleotides) under Vreelandella stevensii. Its description in RNAcentral is "partial 16S ribosomal RNA". It matches the Rfam family "Bacterial small subunit ribosomal RNA", at positions 338 to 795 of the family's 1533-position model. The record is from RNAcentral. Lineage: Bacteria; Pseudomonadati; Pseudomonadota; Gammaproteobacteria; Oceanospirillales; Halomonadaceae.
CCUACGGGGCGCAGCAGUGGGGAAUAUUGGACAAUGGGCGAAAGCCUGAUCCAGCCAUGCCGCGUGUGUGAAGAAGGCCUUCGGGUUGUAAAUCACUUUCAGUGGGGAAGAAAGCCUUGGGGCUAAUACCCUCGAGGAAGGACAUCACCCACAGAAGAAGCACCGGCUAACUCCGUGCCAGCAGCCGCGGUAAUACGGAGGGUGCGAGCGUUAAUCGGAAUUACUGGGCGUAAAGCGCGCGUAGGCGGUCUGAUAAGCCGGUUGUGAAAGCCCCGGGCUCAACCUGGGAACGGCAUCCGGAACUGUCAGGCUAGAGUGCAGGAGAGGAAGGUAGAAUUCCCGGUGUAGCGGUGAAAUGCGUAGAGAUCGGGAGGAAUACCAGUGGCGAAGGCGGCCUUCUGGACUGACACUGACGCUGAGGUGCGAAAGCGUGGGUAGCAAACAGGAUUAGACACCCCUGUAGUC